AGACGACUCUCGGCAACGGAUAUCUCGGCUCUUGCAUCGAUGAAGAACGUAGCGAGAUGCGAUACGUGGUGUGAAUUGCAGAAUCCCGUGAACCAUCGAGUCUUUGAACGCAAGUUGCGCCCGAGGCCACUCGGCCGAGGGCACGCCUGCCUGGGCGUCACGCCCCCGAUCGCUCCCCCGCGGCAUGGCCUGCCCCGGGGAGGCGGAGACUGGCCGCCCGUGCGCCACUCGAAGGCGAGCGGUUGGCCCAAAUGCAGGUCAAAGUGCGGUGCGGCACGACGCGUGGUGGUUUAGAGCCGCGAUCGAUCGCGAAUCGGACGCAGUGCCUGCGUCAGGCCGCACCCGUGCGACACGUGGGACGCAGCUUGCCCGUUUCGGCGGGAGCUCGGACCGCGACCCCAGGUCAGGCGGGGCCACCCGCUGAGUUUAAGCAUAUCAAUAAGCGGAGGAGAAGAAACUUACGAGGAUUCCCCUAGUAACGGCGAGCGAACCGGGAGGAGCCC
Molecule: ribosomal RNA, 503 nt
Filed under: Cryptocarya chinensis
Lineage: Eukaryota; Viridiplantae; Streptophyta; Magnoliopsida; Laurales; Lauraceae
Description: eukaryotic LSU rRNA
Rfam family: 5.8S ribosomal RNA (bases 5-160)
Source: RNAcentral